Long non-coding RNA from Olea europaea var. sylvestris, 247 nucleotides. RefSeq lists it as uncharacterized. The transcript has 3 exons. NCBI's taxonomy places the organism in Eukaryota, Viridiplantae, Streptophyta, Magnoliopsida, Lamiales, Oleaceae. The record is from RefSeq and is a predicted model, not a curated record.
AAGAGAAGUAUCCUCAGCAUCCAUUGUUGCCAAAAGAUCUUCAGAAAAGGGCUCUCAAUUACCAGACUGCAAAUUUGGUUUCUGCAAACAUACAACCUCUCCAGAAUUUACCUGUCCUCGGAUAUAUUAAUGAAAAAACUUGGUCCUGACGAGGAAAUUCCUUGGGCUCAAACUCAUAUACGAAAAGGCUUUGCAGGUAAGCAUUGUCCUUAGUGCCCUUUCUUUGAAGAAAGAAAAUAAAUGUUAG